AGAUGGCGACCGGCGCACGGGUGAGUAACACGUAUCCAACCUGCCGAUAACUCGGGGAUAGCCUUUCGAAAGAAAGAUUAAUACCCGAUGGCAUAAUUAGACCGCAUGGUCUUAUUAUUAAAGAAUUUCGGUUUAUCGAUGGGGAUGCGUUCCAUUAGGCAGUUGGUGAGGUAACGGCUCACCAAACCUUCGAUGGAUAGGGGUUCUGAGAGGAAGGUCCCCCACAUUGGAACUGAGACACGGUCCAA
Molecule: ribosomal RNA, 248 nt
Filed under: uncultured bacterium
Lineage: Bacteria
Description: partial 16S ribosomal RNA
Rfam family: Bacterial small subunit ribosomal RNA
Source: RNAcentral